UAUAUCGAUAAAAAGGGCCUCGUUGUGUGGACGGGUGCAGGGUUAAAUCGGUUUAACGCUGCUAAAUUCGAUUUCAACGCGUAGUGUAAACUAGGCCUUAGAGUGAGAGAAGGCUGAAGG
This is a long non-coding RNA of Gopherus evgoodei (Goodes thornscrub tortoise), 120 nucleotides long. RefSeq lists it as uncharacterized. The record is from RefSeq and is a predicted model, not a curated record. The transcript is spliced from 3 exons. NCBI's taxonomy places the organism in Eukaryota, Metazoa, Chordata, Testudines, Testudinidae.